GCCCUGAUAGUAUAAUCAUUACUUUGGUCUUGUAAACCAAAAAUAAGGAACAUUCCUUUCAAGGCA
This 66-nucleotide transfer RNA is filed under the name Grammomys selousi. RNAcentral describes it as "tRNA-Thr". Lineage: Eukaryota; Metazoa; Chordata; Mammalia; Rodentia; Muridae. The record is from RNAcentral.